UGCAACCCGACUCCACGAAGUUGGAUUCGCUAGUAAUCGCGCAUCAGCCAUGGCGCGGUGGAUACGUUCCCGGGCCUUGUACACACCGCCCGUCAAGCCAUGGGAGCCGGGGGCGCCUGAAGUCCGGGACCGCGAGGACCGGCCUAGGGCGAAACUGGUGACUGGGGCUAAGUCGUAACAAGGUAUC
This 187-nucleotide ribosomal RNA is filed under the name uncultured bacterium. RNAcentral's name for it is "partial 16S ribosomal RNA". It matches the Rfam family "Bacterial small subunit ribosomal RNA", at positions 1306 to 1500 of the family's 1533-position model. The record is from RNAcentral.